UUCCCUCUGAAGUUUCCCUUAAGAUAGCUGGAGCUUAGGAUGAGUUUUAUCGGGUAAAGCCAAUGAUUAGAAGCAUCGGGGGUUCAACGCCCUCGACCUAUUCUCAAACUUUAAAUAGGUAGGACAGCAUGGCUGCUUCAUUGAGCCGGGCCACGGAAUCGAGUGCUCCAACUGGGCCAUUUUUGGUAAGCAGAACUGGCAAUGCAGGAUGAACCGGAAGCCAGGUUAUGAUGCCCAACUGCGCGCUAACCUAGAACCCACAAAGGGUGUUGGUCGAUUAAGACAACAAGAUAGUGAUCAUGGAAGUCGAAAUCCAUUGAGUGUGUAACAACUCACCUACCGAAUCAACGAGCCCCAAAAAUGGAUGGCGCUUAAGCGCGCGACCUAUACCCAGUCGUCGAGGUAAGAGAUAGGCCUUGAUGAGUAGGAGGGCGUGGCGGUCGCUGCAAAACCUAGGGCGCGAGCCCAUGCAGAGCGGCCAUCGGUG
RNAcentral lists this non-coding RNA (487 nucleotides) under Ricinus communis (castor bean). RNAcentral's name for it is "Eukaryotic large subunit ribosomal RNA". It matches the Rfam family "Eukaryotic large subunit ribosomal RNA", at positions 955 to 1444 of the family's 3401-position model. Lineage: Eukaryota; Viridiplantae; Streptophyta; Magnoliopsida; Malpighiales; Euphorbiaceae. The record is from Rfam by way of RNAcentral.